AAAAGAAAGAAAAGAAAGAGAGAUGGAAUGAAAUAAAAGUUGAAUUGCUCGAUAGUUUGAUUUUGACCCCGACAAUGCACUUUUGCAAAAUAAGAGUCCUAAUGCGAAAUUGACCGCGUGUAAACCAAAUUGAGGGUAAAAGAAACGCGUUGGCGAAGUCGGUUCGGCAAUCCGACGAACCUACGCAAAGAUAUCGCCAAAAGAAGGUUUUCGGCUAUAGUUGCCGCUUUAUAUAGCAUUGAAAUGCUAACUUGUCAAUUAUGAGUCGACGACACGCUAAUUACGGUAGAGACCGCUCUAGUCCUAUUUGCACGGAGUCGCGAGAGAUAGUCGUCGACGCUUUCCGAGACGUGGAUUCUAGUUGAUUGACACCACUACAGGUUCCAGUGCGAGUUUUGAGGCCGAGGAUCGUGGCAAGGGCCCUGCAGCUUAGCUAGCUGAC
Molecule: long non-coding RNA, 442 nt
Organism: Ananas comosus (pineapple)
Lineage: Eukaryota; Viridiplantae; Streptophyta; Magnoliopsida; Poales; Bromeliaceae
Exons: 3
Source: RefSeq, a predicted model, not a curated record